RNAcentral lists this ribosomal RNA (354 nucleotides) under uncultured bacterium. RNAcentral's name for it is "partial 16S ribosomal RNA". It matches the Rfam family "Bacterial small subunit ribosomal RNA", at positions 567 to 918 of the family's 1533-position model. The record is from RNAcentral.
AUACGUAGGUGGUUUGUCGCGUCGUCUGUGAAAUUCCGGGGCUUAACUCCGGGCGUGCAGGCGAUACGGGCAUAACUUGAGUACUGUAGGGGAGACUGGAAUUCCUGGUGUAGCGGUGAAAUGCGCAGAUAUCAGGAGGAACACCGGUGGCGAAGGCGGGUCUCUGGGCAGUAACUGACGCUGAGGAGCGAAAGCAUGGGUAGCGAACAGGAUUAGAUCCCCUGGUAGUCCAUGCCGUAAACGGUGGGCGCUAGGUGUAGGGGUCUUCCACGACUUCUGUGCCGUAGCUAACGCAUUAAGCGCCCCGCCUGGGGAGUACGGCCGCAAGGCUAAAACUCAAAGGAAUUGACGGGG